Molecule: ribosomal RNA, 500 nt
Filed under: uncultured bacterium
Lineage: Bacteria
Description: partial 16S ribosomal RNA
Rfam family: Bacterial small subunit ribosomal RNA
Source: RNAcentral
GACGAACGCUGGCGGCGUGCCUAAUACAUGCAAGUCGAGCGGACUUGAAGGAGUGCUUGCACUCCUGAGAGUUAGCGGCGGACGGGUGAGUAACACGUAGGCAACCUGCCCUCAAGACUGGGAUAACUACCGGAAACGGUAGCUAAUACCGGGUAAUUUAUUACAUAGCAUUAUGUGAUAAUGAAAGACGGAGCAAUCUGUCACUUGGGGAUGGGCCUGCGGCGCAUUAGCUAGUUGGUGGGGUAACGGCCCACCAAGGCGACGAUGCGUAGCCGACCUGAGAGGGUGAACGGCCACACUGGGACUGAGACACGGCCCAGACUCCUACGGGAGGCAGCAGUAGGGAAUCUUCCGCAAUGGGCGAAAGCCUGACGGAGCAACGCCGCGUGAGUGAUGAAGGUUUUCGGAUCGUAAAGCUCUGUUGCCAAGGAAGAACGUCUCAUAGAGUAACUGCUAUGAGAGUGACGGUACUUGAGAAGAAAGCCCCGGCUAACUACGUG